GCCGUUGUAGCUCAGUGGUAGAGCACUUCCUUGGUAAGGAAGAGGUCGUGAGUUCAAUCCUCAUCAACGGCU
RNAcentral lists this transfer RNA (72 nucleotides) under Pseudomonadota bacterium. Its description in RNAcentral is "tRNA-Thr". It matches the Rfam family "tRNA". From Rfam's summary of the family: Transfer RNA (tRNA) molecules are approximately 80 nucleotides in length. Their secondary structure includes four short double-helical elements and three loops (D, anti-codon, and T loops). RNAcentral also lists the same sequence under 2 other names. Lineage: Bacteria; Pseudomonadati; Pseudomonadota. The record is from RNAcentral.